GCAGGUUAUCUCAGAUUUGCCCCUGC
RNAcentral lists this non-coding RNA (26 nucleotides) under Rattus norvegicus (Norway rat). The record is from RNAcentral. Lineage: Eukaryota; Metazoa; Chordata; Mammalia; Rodentia; Muridae.